GACGAACGCUGGCGGCGUGCCUAAUACAUGCAAGUCGAGCGGACGGAUGGGAGCUUGCUCCCAGACCGUCAGCGGCGGACGGGUGAGUAACACGUGGGCAACCUGCCUGUAAGCCUGGGAUAACUCCGGGAAACCGGGGCUAAUACCGGAUAACUCUUUCCCUCACAUGAGGGAAAGCUGAAAGAUGGCAUCUCGCUAUCACUUACAGCUGGGCCCGCGGCGCAUUAGCUAGUUGGUGAGGUAACGGCUCACCAAGGCGACGAUGCGUAGCCGACCUGAGAGGGUGAUCGGCCACACUGGGACUGAGACACGGCCCAGACUCCUACGGGAGGCAGCAGUAGGGAAUCUUCCGCAAUGGACGAAAGUCUGACGGAGCAACGCCGCGUGAGUGAUGAAGGUUUUCGGAUCGUAAAACUCUGUUGUCAGGGAAGAACAAGUACCGGAGUAACUGCCGGUACCUUGACGGUACCUGACCAGAAAGCCACGGCUAACUACGUG
RNAcentral lists this ribosomal RNA (498 nucleotides) under uncultured bacterium. Its description in RNAcentral is "partial 16S ribosomal RNA". It matches the Rfam family "Bacterial small subunit ribosomal RNA", at positions 28 to 507 of the family's 1533-position model. The record is from RNAcentral.